GACAGAGGGGGCAAGCGUUGUUCGGAUUUACUGGGCGUAAAGGGCGCGUAGGCGGUCAGCACAAGUCAGUUGUGAAAUCUCCGGGCUUAACUCGGAAAGGUCAACUGAUACUGUGCGACUAGAGUGCGGAAGGGGCAACUGGAAUUCUCGGUGUAGCGGUGAAAUGCGUAGAUAUCGAGAGGAACACCUGCGGCGAAGGCGGCCCCCUGGUUGGAUACUGACGCUGAGACGCGAAAGCGUGGGGAGCAAACAGG
This 254-nucleotide ribosomal RNA is filed under the name uncultured bacterium. RNAcentral's name for it is "partial 16S ribosomal RNA". It matches the Rfam family "Bacterial small subunit ribosomal RNA", at positions 524 to 776 of the family's 1533-position model. The record is from RNAcentral.